Molecule: ribosomal RNA, 161 nt
Filed under: Amanita cf. oberwinkleriana
Lineage: Eukaryota; Fungi; Basidiomycota; Agaricomycetes; Agaricales; Amanitaceae
Description: Amanita cf. oberwinklerana 5.8S ribosomal RNA
Rfam family: 5.8S ribosomal RNA
About the family: 5.8S ribosomal RNA (5.8S rRNA) is a component of the large subunit of the eukaryotic ribosome. It is transcribed by RNA polymerase I as part of the 45S precursor that also contains 18S and 28S rRNA. Functionally, it is thought that 5.8S rRNA may be involved in ribosome translocation.
Source: RNAcentral
ACAACUUUCAACAAUGGAUCUCUUGGCUCUCGCAUCGAUGAAGAACGCAGCGAAAUGCGAUAAGUAAUGUGAAUUGCAGAAUUCAGUGAAUCAUCGAAUGUUUGAACGCAUCUUGCGCUCCUUGGUAUUCCUUGGAGCAUGCCUGUUUGAGUGUCAUUAUA